This 958-nucleotide ribosomal RNA is filed under the name Cucullanus robustus. RNAcentral describes it as "large subunit ribosomal RNA". The record is from RNAcentral. Lineage: Eukaryota; Metazoa; Nematoda; Chromadorea; Rhabditida; Cucullanidae.
AAAGUUUAUUUUGUAUAAAAUUUGGUAUUGCGUACCAGUAGAGGAAAAUUACAUUUUUAUGUUUAAUAGAGAGAAAAAGUUUAAUUUUUUUUUAUUUUUAUUAUUACAUAAUAAAAUUUAAAAAAAUAUAGUGUUGAAAUAUCGUUUUUUCUGUUAUCUGUUUGUUAUUUAUGAUUUAGAAAGUUUUUUAAUUUUAGUAAUUUGUGGACUGUUAGAAUUUGAAGUGUUUUGUUUUAGUUUUGUAACUUAGUUUAAAAUAAUUUUUUUUUUUUUUUUUUUUUGUUAAGAUAUUAACAUAUUUUUUGUCUUUAUAUUAAUAUAAUUUUAUAAUUUUAUUAAUUUAUAAUAAAAAUUUUUAGAUAACUCAGUAUUUGGUUGGAUGUUUAUUAAAAACUUAGGUUUUAAUUUAAAACUUACUCCUGCUCAGUGAUUUUUAAAUAGCAGUCUUAGCGUGAGGACAAUAAAGUAGCAAAAUAAGUUGUGCUUUUAAUGAGUUCGAGUAUGAAUGGAGUGAACGGCUGAUGUUAUUCUUUAAUUUGAUUGGAAUUUAUUUAAUUACUAAAAAUGGUUAUUUAUAUAUAAACAAAGAUAAGUCUUCGGAAAUUUUUUUAUUAUAGAAAUACUUGUUUUUAUAAUAUUUUGUCUAGGGUAGAUUUAUAGGUAUAUAUUAUUACUAAUAUUAUUAUUAAAAAUUACUUCGGAGUUAACAGGAAAUCAUGCUUUUUAAAGUUCUUAUUUUAGAGUAAGUUUCACAUCGAUGUUGUAUUCUAGUUGGUUGGGGAAGAAGAAAAUUUAGUUAUUAAGACUGUUCUUCUUGAAGAAAAUUAGACGUGAUAUUAGUUUAAUUCAUCGUGAGAUAGAAUUGAUUAUCUUGUUAUUUAUUUUGUUUUAUUUUUAUGAGUACGAAAGGAAUAUAAUUAAAGGUUUAACCUUUUUGAUUUUUUUAAAUGAAUUAUUG